UACGUAGGGAGCAAGCGUUGUCCGGAAUCAUUGGGCGUAAAGCGCGCGUAGGUGGCUCCGUAAGUCCGUUGUGAAAGUCAAAGGCUCAACCUUUGAAAGCCGAUGGAUACUGUGGAGCUAGAGUACGGAAGAGGCGAGUGGAAUUCCUGGUGUAGCGGUGGAAUGUGCAGAUAUCGGGAAGAACACCCGUGGCGAAGGCGGCUCUCUGGGACGGUACUGACGCUGAGACGCGAAAGCGUGGGGAGCGAACAGG
RNAcentral lists this ribosomal RNA (253 nucleotides) under uncultured bacterium. RNAcentral's name for it is "partial 16S ribosomal RNA". It matches the Rfam family "Bacterial small subunit ribosomal RNA", at positions 524 to 776 of the family's 1533-position model. The record is from RNAcentral.